GAAUUCCAUGAGAAUACGACUCUUUUUUGGAAAAGACACAAACUGAAGAGGACCUGGUGCUGCUGCCCAGCAUGACCCAGGUUACCUACACUGGGUUGGAAAUGAAAUUAUGAAGGCGAUGAGCAAAACAGUGACUUGCUAUUCUUGAGUCCAGCAAAACACAAACUAAUAGUACUCCAUUAAUUGGAAAGAAAGGAAAAGAGGGAUAUACCUGUCAGAAAACAUACAAUAAAAAUUUACGCGUAGAAGACAUUGAGUCAUGAAUAUGGAAUGACUUCACCUAACUUCACUUGAAAUUCACUUAAUUUUCAACUCUAUGGGCUAUGAGAUAUCCACAAUGAAGCAGUUGGAAACCAAAUUUAUUAUUCCAACACAAGAAUGCAUGUCUGUUUGGGGAAUAACCAAGCUGGAAAACAUUUCUUGAUGUCCCGGACUUGUCUCAGUUUUGCCUGAGUGUCUUCAUUGCCUGAGUCAUCAGUAAAUGUAAUAAUCUCAAGUUUAAUUAACACCUAGAAAUGUGUUAUUUGACAAUCUGAUUUUUUGUUUGUUGGUUGGUUGUACAUCAUUGUAUUAGUCUGGUUUCUCCAGAGAAACAAACAAAACCAGUUUACACACACACACACACACACACACACACACACACACUCUCAUCAG
RNAcentral lists this long non-coding RNA (654 nucleotides) under Callithrix jacchus (white-tufted-ear marmoset). RNAcentral describes it as "lncRNA (ENSCJAG00000081376.1)". Lineage: Eukaryota; Metazoa; Chordata; Mammalia; Primates; Cebidae. The record is from RNAcentral.